This is a long non-coding RNA of Eriocheir sinensis (Chinese mitten crab), 979 nucleotides long. RefSeq lists it as uncharacterized. The record is from RefSeq and is a predicted model, not a curated record. NCBI's taxonomy places the organism in Eukaryota, Metazoa, Arthropoda, Malacostraca, Decapoda, Varunidae. The transcript is spliced from 3 exons.
GUGUGUUGUGUUGCCGUGUGUUGUGAUCCCGUGUGUUGCCACGCGUUGCCGUGUUGCCGUGUGUUGCCAGGACGAGACACGGGGUGGAGGAGGAGGAGGAGAGACGGUGUGAGGGAAGAGGAGGAAGAAAGGAGUGAGGGAAGAGGAGGAGGAAGAGAAACAUAGUAAGGGAAGAGGAGGAGGAACCGAGGAAGGCAGAUAAGAGGAAGAGGAAGGGAAGCAGGAGUGGGUGGAGAGUUUGCAGAGCUGAUGAGUGGGAGUAAAACUUGACUGGUGUGUAUAGCAAGUACUGAAACAACUUACAGGAGGGAAACUACGUGUGUGUGGGGGGGGGGGGGAUUCCCUCAGCAGCAACACGCCCUGGGGAAGGCAAGGAAGAGGACGGGCCAAGGAGGACGAGGACACACAUGACGUUUAGAAGAAGUUUGGUGUCCUGAAGUCAACAUUCCAGCGGGAGGUUAGGAAAAUUCAUAACACUCCCAGCGGUUCUGGUGGUUCUGUUGAACCAAAGUGGGAAUAUUUUAAGACUUGUUUUUUCAUGCUCCCACUAAACAUCAGUGAACCUACGAGGCCAUCCCGUACCAUCAAUAAUUUGGAGACCUGGCCAAGCACUAUAACCCUUUCUGCUGAUGAGGACAGUGUACCCUCCACGAGGUGUUUAGAAGUUAAAGGUCUUCCUUGAUGAGCUACAAUGAGCACCUCCUGACACCAUCAUCAACUGCGACUCCACCUGAUGCUGCGAAUGUCUCGUACGUGCCUGUUCCCUCAACAUCAUCUGGUCGAUCGGAAUCCUGCUCACCCACACUGCCACCAAGAAAGAAGAGGAGAAAGGCACUACAAGAAAAUUUUAAUGAAACACUGGCUUAAGUAAAUACUGUGCUAGGGAAUCAUUCAGGCAAUAUUGUGUAGGCAACAACAGAUUAUAUCAGUGGUUUUAUGUGGUUAUUAUCCGAAAAACAACAGCGUAAAUUUGCUAAAA